UACGGAGGGGGCUAGCGUUGCUCGGAAUUACUGGGCGUAAAGGGCGCGUAGGCGGAUCGUUAAGUCAGAGGUGAAAUCCCAGGGCUCAACCCUGGAACUGCCUUUGAUACUGGCGAUCUUGAGUAUGAGAGAGGUAUGUGGAACUCCGAGUGUAGAGGUGAAAUUCGUAGAUAUUCGGAAGAACACCAGUGGCGAAGGCGACAUACUGGCUCAUUACUGACGCUGAGGCGCGAAAGCGUGGGGAGCAAACAGG
This 253-nucleotide ribosomal RNA is filed under the name uncultured bacterium. RNAcentral describes it as "partial 16S ribosomal RNA". It matches the Rfam family "Bacterial small subunit ribosomal RNA", at positions 524 to 776 of the family's 1533-position model. The record is from RNAcentral.